GGGACGAAGUCAUACCUGCUUCUGGAGAUCGAAGAUGCUUGCAGCGUUGAUGAUGAUUCUCACCUACUGCUUCCUCUGGUCCGAAGACAAUUUCAAGGAUAAUUCUCCUCACUGUGUGCUGCCCUCUUGUUCUCUCUUUCUCUAUGUAUUUGGAUUUGUGCUCUGUUUUCUUUGUUUUUUUUUGUUCUUAACUCUGUUUUUCUGGGUUGA
Populus euphratica (Euphrates poplar) is the source of this 210-nucleotide long non-coding RNA. RefSeq lists it as uncharacterized. The transcript has 2 exons. NCBI's taxonomy places the organism in Eukaryota, Viridiplantae, Streptophyta, Magnoliopsida, Malpighiales, Salicaceae. The record is from RefSeq and is a predicted model, not a curated record.